UUCACCGUUUCUCUCCUUCUUUCUCGCACAUUUACCUUUACCGUGGCUGCACGGAGGACCUCAUCGCUGCUCAUUUACCUUUCCCAUGGCUGUUUGAAGGAUCUCAUUGCUGCUCUCCCGCUCUCUCGCUUGUACCACCGCCAUCGCCUCAGCCCGUGCUUUGCUGUCUCGAAGUGCUGCUUCACUUUCCAUCGACGCCCGCAAUGGCAAGUGAAAAACCUUCCGGAAGUUGGACUUAGGACAGGGGAGGUGAUCGCCCAUGUAGCUUAAGGGGAUGCUGAGGACGUAAACCGAGCAGUGUCGGCUGUUCGUAAGGCGUUUGACAAAGGGCUAUGUCCGUAAAUUACAUCCCACUAAAGAUUAAUGGUGCUUCUUCGGUUUGUCGAUUUGCUGGAGAAGCACAAUGGCGAACUAGCGACGCUUGGGACAUGGGAUAAUGGAAAGCCAUAUCAACAUGGAUUUCAAUAAUGCUCUUCACGUGGAUUUUUUUCGAUUACAUGAGAAGCCCGUCACAUGGAUUUAAU
Non-coding RNA from Punica granatum (pomegranate), 524 nucleotides. The record is from RefSeq and is a predicted model, not a curated record. Lineage: Eukaryota; Viridiplantae; Streptophyta; Magnoliopsida; Myrtales; Lythraceae.